RNAcentral lists this long non-coding RNA (2278 nucleotides) under Pan troglodytes (chimpanzee). RNAcentral's name for it is "long non-coding RNA NONPTRT015486". Lineage: Eukaryota; Metazoa; Chordata; Mammalia; Primates; Hominidae. The record is from RNAcentral.
CCCUUCUUCUCCCCUUUUAUUAAGUACUCUACUGUCAUCAAGGGUUAGUAAUGAUCUCAGAUGCUCUAAGAAAUCUUUGGAGACAUUCUCAAGCUUCAGAGACCUUCCUCUCACUAAUUUCUCAUGAGAGUAACCGUCAGGACAAAUCACUUGGCAUUUAGCACCUUAUCUCGUGAUGUAUUCUUAUAGAUUCCUCCACGUGAAAAUGCCCUCCACAUAAUAUACCAUGAGUCUCAGAGAGGCACAAGAGAUAGGGAUAUUGCAAAGAGGCUGCAAUAUCCUUCACGACAGGAUCUCAACUCCAAAUGGAAAAAGAGUGUUCUGCAACCUCCACAAUGUAAAAUGAAAGUUAAUGUAUGGGAAAUAAAGCCUCCUGAUUUUAGCUACAAACUGUAUACUUCUUUGAGAAUUCCAGAAAGACCAUCAAAACCAAUUAAGGAAGAAAAAAGGAGGAAAAAAAUCAGUUUUCCAGAAACAAUGCUUCACUUGCCCAGCAUAAGGAAUCAUCCUAAGGAGGUCACAGCUCCUAAAUUUAUAACUACAUUUCCACGUCUGGAUUUACAAAAAGCAAAGUUAAUGUUUGUGAAGAGUGGACAAUAUCCAAGGGGUGUAUAUGUCAAUCCCAAACCACAUGACUUUCGACAGUACCAACCUGGUUUACCAAACUUUGAGACAACUUAUGAAAAGGACCCCUUUGGAUUAAAAUUUAAAUCACAACACUUAAGUACAGUACAUGGGUACCAGUUACCGAAAGAUAAUAAACAGAAGAAUACUACAGAAAGAUUUAUCACCCACAAGCAUCGUGAAUGCACCUGGGAUUCAAAACUAAUUUUGACGAAAGCCCCAUGGCCUGUUAGAUCUGCUUCAUAUACAAGACAUAGAAGGCAGCGUGAUGCAUACAGUGCAUUUAUGGAUCGUGUGGAAGAAAAGUUUACAAAGAUAUGCAAGAGCAGAUAGCUGAUGGACCAAAACAGCAUAGGGCUUCCUGAACUCUGGCCUGAAUGUUCAUCUCCCGUGCAUUUCCCAGUGAGAACAUUGAUGAAUUCUGGCACCUUCCUGGAUUCUACAGAAAUCUGCACUCUCCCAGAGACAUGAGAAAGUGCUAAAACAACAAAUGAAAGUUGCAUAAUUUGAAAUUCCCUUGUUACCACAUGGAUCAGAAUCCAAUCAUCAGGCUUUUGAUUUAGUUUGUGAAAGUUAGAUCUUGCAACUAUGAGUGGAAAUGCUGAUAAUGUGCUUUCUGUUAAUGUCCAAAGUUAAAGAGAUGCUCUAGUCUCAGGUAAAGCUAAUGUGAGACAAACAACAAUAAUGCUUACUAAUUUUGACCACCAUGUUUCUCUAAGGCCAAAGAUUGCAAAUUUUAUCUGUUUGCAUCCUUCAUAGAAAUAAGAAUUCUCUGGAUAUAGCAUACAUUCUACUAAAGGAUGACUGUUAUGCUGUGUGGGAAAGUAAUAGUUAAAAAUCAAAUAUUUUUACUUUAAAAAAUAGAGAACAAGGUAGCAACCAGAAUUGAAGUCAUUCAAAUAUAAAUGGGGCACUUUCCCAGAAGAUGUCAUCCAAAGACAAAAAAAUAGGAAAGUUUAAUUCAUGACACAGUGAAGUUCUUCUACGGUUUAAAUUGUUCCUGGAAAUAGAUUUUAUUUUCAGGAAUCAUAGGAUGCCAGGUGGUUAGUGAUAGUGUUUAUUUCUGAAAAAAAAAAGAAAAAGAGUAUAUGUAUGAGCUUUGUGUUCACAUAUACAAGGUGGCAUAGGUUGAAAUAAUGAACAUUUAUUUAGUAUGUUUAUGGCAUAUUGAAAUCAAUAUUUGAAUCUUCAUUUUUCAGUUUUUUCUAAUACACUUUAAGAAGCUUCUCUGAGACACUCAAGUAUAUCAAAAGAGAGAAGAUCUCCAAGUAACAGAAAUACUAAAUGUCCUUCUUAAAGAACACCAGGCUUGGAGAAUUUAUAGUUCCAACUAGAAGGAAAGGUCUGUCUUUUAACAUGUUAAAAUAAUUUUCUAAAUUUUUGUUUAAAUAUUUUGAGGGAAAGAAAACAAAUGACGUGAAACUUGUUUCUGAUCAAGAUUUGAUGAUUAUAAUUGAAAAUUAAUAAAAGGGGAGGGUAGGAUUUAAUGCUAUUGCCAGUUUUAUUGAAUGGAUUAUCCUAUCACCUUUCCAAUUUCACUAUGAAAACUACUGAAAUAAAGGCAAGUACGUAUUUAAUAGCUCUGUUGACAUAAGCAACAUUAAGUGGAAAGAUGAGGCAAUGAAAUUAAAUCAUUUCCCAAAGGAUAUUUUGC